This 74-nucleotide small RNA is filed under the name Xanthomonas campestris. RNAcentral's name for it is "sX9 sRNA". It matches the Rfam family "Xanthomonas sRNA sX9". The record is from RNAcentral. Lineage: Bacteria; Pseudomonadati; Pseudomonadota; Gammaproteobacteria; Lysobacterales; Lysobacteraceae.
AUAUACCCACGUACACUCCGAUUCCUCCACGCGGCCGCAUCCAGCUGACGACUUCUCGCUACGUGUUGUCAGCC